ACGCAUUAGAAAUUUUUAUUAUUUAAAACAAUAGGGAAGACAGACUAAAUAAAAUUGGAUUUUAAUUCGAGUAAUUUAUAUCAGUUGUACAAUCAUCACAGUCCCAACAAGAAAUUACAGGGAUAGAGCAUCCGAUUGGAUCAAGAAAAUUUUUCUACCGAGUUUUAUUAAUACAAUUGGAUACUAUGAAAGAUUGAAGAAUUUAUUUAGUACGUAUCAAGCAUCUUCUUCUCAGCAAUACCAUUUCGAAGAGACCGAAUCUAAUUUGAUGUCGGUAAAUAUUUUGAAUGAGUUGAGAAGAGAUGUCUAUAUUGUGCCUAAUCCUGCUUUAGAAGAGAUUGAGGAUUAUUUGGCGGAUUCAGUGGCAAAGACAACAGUGGAUGUUCUUAGCUGGUGGUCUGAAAAUGCCAAGAAAUUUCCAAAAUCAUCCAAUAUGGUUAGAUAUUAUUUAGGGCAACAAACAACAUCUGUUGCCAGCGAAAGAGUAUUUUCUAGAGCUGCCGAUACCUUGACGAACAAACGAAAUAGAAUGUCCUCUUCAACUCUUAAACAAUGCCUCUCGCUAAAUUCAUGGGACAUAAAUAUUUAAAGGAAGACC
This is a long non-coding RNA of Gordionus sp. m RMFG-2023, 598 nucleotides long. RefSeq lists it as uncharacterized. The transcript has 3 exons. NCBI's taxonomy places the organism in Eukaryota, Metazoa, Nematomorpha, Gordioida, Chordodea, Parachordodidae. The record is from RefSeq and is a predicted model, not a curated record.